RNAcentral lists this ribosomal RNA (568 nucleotides) under uncultured bacterium. RNAcentral's name for it is "bacterial SSU rRNA". It matches the Rfam family "Bacterial small subunit ribosomal RNA", at positions 338 to 916 of the family's 1533-position model. The record is from RNAcentral.
CCUACGGGAGGCAGCAGUGGGGAAUAUUGCACAAUGGGCGCAAGCCUGAUGCAGCGACGCCGCGUGAGGGAUGACGGCCUUCGGGUUGUAAACCUCUUUCAGUAGGGAAGAAGCGAAAGUGACGGUACCUGCAGAAGAAGCGCCGGCUAACUACGUGCCAGCAGCCGCGGUAAUACGUAGGGCGCAAGCGUUAUCCGGAAUUAUUGGGCGUAAAGAGCUCGUAGGCGGUUUGUCGCGUCUGCCGUGAAAGUCCGGGGCUCAACUCCGGAUCUGCGGUGGGUACGGGCAGACUAGAGUGAUGUAGGGGAGACUGGAAUUCCUGGUGUAGCGGUGAAAUGCGCAGAUAUCAGGAGGAACACCGAUGGCGAAGGCAGGUCUCUGGGCAUUAACUGACGCUGAGGAGCGAAAGCAUGGGGAGCGAACAGGAUUAGAUACCCUGGUAGUCCAUGCCGUAAACGUUGGGCACUAGGUGUGGGGGACAUUCCACGUUUUCCGCGCCGUAGCUAACGCAUUAAGUGCCCCGCCUGGGGAGUACGGCCGCAAGGCUAAAACUCAAAUGAAUUGACGG